GAUGAAGAGCGUAGCGAAAUGCGAUAAGUAAUGUGAAUUGCAGAAUUCAGUGAAUCAUCGAAUCUUUGAACGCACCUUGCGCCCUUUGGCUAUUCUGAAGGGCAUGCCUGUUUGAGUAUCAUGAACACCUCAACUCUCAUGGUUCGCCAUGAUGAGCUUGGACUUUGGGGGUCUUGCUGGCCUACGGUCGGCUCCUCUCAAAUGAAUCAGCUUGCCAGUGUUUGGUAGAGUCGCAGGUGUGAUAACUAUCUACGCUUGUGGUUUUCUGCCAGAUAACCUUCAGUGAUGGAGGUUCGCUGGAGCUUAUAAAUGUCUCUCCCCAGUGAGGACAGCUUUUUGAACGUUUGAUCUCAAAUCAGGUAGGACUACCCGCUGAACUUAAGCAUAUCAAUAAGCGGAGGA
This 402-nucleotide unclassified non-coding RNA is filed under the name soil metagenome. Its description in RNAcentral is "partial contains 5.8S ribosomal RNA, internal transcribed spacer 2, and large subunit ribosomal RNA". The stretch from base 1 to 121 matches the Rfam family "5.8S ribosomal RNA", at positions 35 to 154 of the family's 154-position model. The record is from RNAcentral.